This 85-nucleotide transfer RNA is filed under the name Felis catus (domestic cat). It matches the Rfam family "tRNA". Rfam says of the family: Transfer RNA (tRNA) molecules are approximately 80 nucleotides in length. Their secondary structure includes four short double-helical elements and three loops (D, anti-codon, and T loops). Lineage: Eukaryota; Metazoa; Chordata; Mammalia; Carnivora; Felidae. The record is from Rfam by way of RNAcentral.
GCCUGGGUGGCUCAGUCGGUUAAGCAUCUGACUUCGGCUCAGGUCAUGAUCUCAUGGUUCGUGAGUUCAAGUCCCGCAUCAGGCU